AAUACUAAGUGUUGAACAAAAAAAAUCUGAUCCUGCUUCCUACCAACACAUUUCAAUAUGAUUUACACUUUCCCUAUCCCUUGGCCCCAAAGUUCUGUACCUAAAUUCUCUUUCAUCCACUGAUACUCAGCUCCUCAGACAAGAUGCUCUAUCUCCCAAAUCCAAGCAUUUUCCCUGGCUGUACCCAAUGCCUGGAAUGCUCUGAUUCUUCACCUCUGACUAAAGAUUCCUGGCUUCCUCCAACUCCAAGUUAAAAAGACAUUUUCUAGAAGAAAGCUUUCUUAAUUUGCCCUUUUCUUACCUUUCCUUUCUUGAUUACUUCACGUAUUAUCCUGUAUAUAGCUUGUUUAUACAUAAUUGUAAGCAUGUGAUCUCCUUUAAUAGACUGCGAGUUUCUUGAGAACAGAGAUUGUCUUGGAAAAUCCUUCCUGGUCCAAGCACAUAGUCAAGUUCCUUGGCCAAUGGGGGCAUUUCAUAAAUAUUUGCUGACUUACUGACCAACCUGUCCUUUCUUUAGUUACAGAAAAUCACAAUGAAUACAUUUACAGAUGUUGAAGAUAAAAUCACAGAAGACAAAACUGAGUGCAGGAUUUUAGGACAAUUUUUCCACUGAGAAUUCCAUCGAUUUCAUUUCCAAAAUCUUGAAGGUCUGUGAAAAAAUCGUGUACACAGGAUGGAAAAAGAUUUAAACAUCUCCCUGAAUAAGGAGAAUGGUGA
Non-coding RNA from Phascolarctos cinereus (koala), 717 nucleotides. Lineage: Eukaryota; Metazoa; Chordata; Mammalia; Diprotodontia; Phascolarctidae. The record is from RefSeq and is a predicted model, not a curated record.